CGGAGUAAGCAGCGUGACUCCAAUAGCUGGUGGAUGUCCUACUGAUGUGGCUCAAGCGUUGAUUUAUCUGUACCUGCACGACAAGAAACGAAACACCUCAGAAGGGACGUGAGUACAAUAUGUACAAAGUAUGUAGGAUGGAAAGCAUACUAAAGUAUGAAUAUACGCUGGAAAUCUAAAUAUAAGCUGGAAGCUAAACAAGAGUCUGAACUAGCAACUAAUCUAGAACUAAACUGAAGUUUAAGUUGAAACUAUGCUGAAAUUGAACUACUAUCUGAACUGGUACCUGACUGGAGUUAUCCUCUAUAUCCCCCAAUAAGGUAACUGUACAUCUGAACUGGCCUCCGAUAUCGUCGUGCAAUACAAACUGUAACUAUAUACACGUAUAUAACAUGCCUGACUGGCGUUAUGCGCUAUAUCCCCUAGCAGAUAAAUAGGACUGGUUGGUGUUAUGGGCUAUCUCCCCCAGCAUAUAAUUAAUAGGCCUCACUGGCGUUAUGGUAUAUAUAUCCCCCCCCCCCCCAAUUAUAAUCAAUGUAAGCAUGUGUGAGGCAUAAAACAUGUGGCAACAUCAUAUAAAAUCAUGAGAUCACGAAGGAAAGCAUAAACAGAAUCACAAACGUAAUCUGACGCUCGUCAUCCAUAAGUUUGAUGGAGCCAAUACCUAUUUUAAAGACAAAAUGAGUAUGUACAUUGGAUACUAAGGCUAAUUAACUCAUUAGGAUCCCUCUAGAAUCAAUUUAGAACCAAGGAACUUAAUAUUUGUCCCACUCUUUGAAUUUCCAAAAUUUCGGCAGAGUUUUCCUAAAACUUGAUGAUCCUAAAAUAAAAAAAACACCACAAUAUACAAGGGAAUCAAUACCUGACUAAGAUGAUAACAUAAAACUAAAGGUGGUCAAAUUAUCCACAACAGUGUCAAAUGAUCAACAAAACAGAAUUAUGAAGGUAAUGUCGGCUCAUAAUGACUAACUUGUGACAUGAAAGUCUAAAUACGAUUUAGGACUAAUAUAAGCAUCAAUACAUGAUAAUUAAGUAUAAUAUUAAAUGAAUAUAUUUGGAUCAUAAGGGGGUUAGGUAUAUAUAAAAACAACAAAUGAACGGAACAAACGGAUGUUCGGAUGGCAUAGGCCAAAUGGGCGAUUCGCCCUUUUUUGUUGUGUUUUGAGGUUCCAACCUAAACUAGUUUCUUCGAUACUUCCCAUAUGAAAUUUAAUACUAUACAAGGAUACAAUACAUGAUUAAAUUUCCCUUUAAUAACUCUUAAAAGAUCAAUAAGAAAGGGUAAAACUUAGCUAAACCAAACCAUACUGAAAAUGAAGCGAAAACGCUACAUACCUCUUGUGUUCUCGCUUACAAACAUUGUUCCCUUUGAUCCACACCCUUCCUUAUGCUUGUAUAGAUAAAAUACAGAGGUUACCAUCUUUAUCAGCCACUAAGCUCUAUCCAAAACUUGAUUUAUAAUGAAAAAGGAGGACGGCAAAGUCUUACCAUGUCGUAAGGAUCAUGUUCGUUUCUUGAUUUUGAGUUGUGGAUGAUGGACUUGCUUCAAAACCCUAAGGAACAUAUUGGAGAGAUAUGUAAUCUCUUCUUAGGCAUGAAAUUUAUGCAAAAUGAGGAAAGAAGAAGACUGUGUCUUCUAUUUAUAGUAAGGUUGAAAAGUCAACCACAUGUGUGCUUACUGAUCCUUCUUCCGACGCCCAUAUUUCUCUAUCCAAACAUCGUAAAAAGAGAAGUCGAGAGUGUUAGAACCUAAAUUUCAUGAACUUAAAUUUGGUAUAUAAUAUGUCCCAAAAAUACCUAAUAUAACACACAAAAUUAAAAAAAGCUUCGUUACAAGGCAAAUCCUUAGUCGGUUUUUCCGCAACUUAAAUUUGAUUUUUCCUAAACUUUAUAUUUUAUAUUCAAACAUCAUACAUAGUCAUAUUAUGACUUUAAACUCAUUUAAAUCAUGCUUAUCAAGUCAUUUACAUAAUAUACAACAUCACAUAAGUACGGGUAUAAUAAUUUCUUUUCAUUAGUGAAGUUUAUUUUUGCAUAUUAUUUGUUGGCUUGUCUAGCAAGCGGUGUUAGGAUCCAUCAUAGUUUUUAUGGGAGUUUGGGUCGUGAUAAGUUGGUAUUAUAGCACUAGUUUGCAUAAGUCUCGCAAUUCAUGAGCAUGCCUAGUAGAGUCUUGUGGAUCGAUACGGACGUUUGUACUUAUCUUUGAGAGGCUAUAGGGCUUUAGGAAACUUACCCUUUAUUGAUUCCUUUCAUGCGAUUUUAUUUUGUCCUUAAGCCUAUAUAUUAAAUUCUUUCCUACCCAUUUUGUACUCAGUUCUGAGUACUCAAUAUCAUAUGGGCACCGACGAGCUUUGAUGAUGAUACAAACAUGAUGAGGGAUUUUUUCUCUUGUGUGGGAGGUUAGAAUAUUAUUGUCGCUUUGCAGAUGAGUUAUUAGAGCCCAAGUGUCACACCUCCUUUUUCCUAUCCCCGAGGGAGAUAUAAGGGAGUUUUUUCAAUUUAAGUGACAAUCAAAACAGGAUUAUUUCAUUUAAAGAUUCAGAGUCACCACUUGGGAUAAUUUAUGGUGUCCCAAGUCACCGGUUUUAAUCCCGAAUCGAGGAAAGAUUGACUCUGUUUUACAGUCCGCGGACACAGAAAUCCGGGUAAGGAAUUCUGUUAACCCGGGAGAAGGUGUUAGGCAUUCUCGGGUUCCGUGGUUUUAGCACGGUCGCUCAACUGUUAUAUUGGCCUAAUUAUCUGAUUUUAAUACAUGUUUUAGCCUAUGGUAUAUUUUAACUUAUUAGCCGCUUUUAAUUAAUUUUAGGAAGAUUUAACGUUAUCUAAAACACAUCUUGAACCAUGCCACAUGAAAUGCACUCGCAGUCCACGACACAUUUUAUUUACGUUGUUCAGAAUUGGAGAUGGGUCACAUGAAAUGCACACCCGAGUUUAAGGAAAUUAAUUUAAAUUACGUGCCUAAAGCAACUAAGCACUUUCAAGUUUGCGAGGGCCAUGGAAAAUUCAACUAAAUAGCACACCUCGAUUCUAUUUGUCAAAGAAAUCUUGAUCUAAUUCUAACAGGGCCAUAAGUUAUGGACAAGAUAUUAUUGUGGAAAACACCCUUCAAUGGCAAGAACUAAUUUUUGGAGCAGCUAAAUUAAUUUCUUUAUAAAAAAUGAGCUAUAUCAGAUUUAAUGCAUCAAACCAAACGGAAACGGAAAUAAACAAACGCAAUCUGUCCCAUUACAAGGGCCAAUAAAGCACUACCAAAAAUUCGAGAUGCCAAAAAUUUGAUAGUAACAAUCGGAUCCAAACACAUGUGUCACAGAGAAAAAUAGAGGGAGAUGCAAAGCUAACCAACUCCUUGCUUCUUAGCUUUACCAUUUGAAAUGGUUGGCAAUUUUUUGCAGAAUACUCAAAUUGGCGUGGAAUUUCAUUUGGCGCAAGAGACAUCAUUUAGGAAAUAAUGAAUGGAAUCAUCAUACUCAAAAUAUAGCAAUGUUAAAACCAUAGUGUCUUUAUGUCCAACAGUACGUUUGCAAAUUUAGAAUACAAUUAAGACACUCCAAUGAAUGCAACCCAAUUAUAAAUAAUCAAGUUAUUUACAAAGUCAUUGUGGCCACAAUUUGGGUAAUCAUCACAGUGCUACUCAUAUUGCCAAAGAAUCUCCCAAACUUUACUGCCGACAUCGAAUUAAUAUGAUAACUUCCAAUAAAAUUUUUAGACGUUCAUACAUGAUGGUUCUCAAACUUGACUGAAGCUAGUUGGAUUUUAUUUAGAAUUAGUCCAAACCAUUAUAUUCACAUUAGGCAACAAACUAUAUUUGAGCACUCCACCUUACUUCAGUGAACAAACAAAAUUCCACUAAUAUAUUCAAAUACUCAAAGUAAAGAAAAAUCUUCCAACAACAACAUAAUAUAGGUAAAUAAAGCGACACUCAUAUAUACAUGCCAAAACAAAUAUAAGUACGGACAGAUAGGAAAUCAAACAACAGUCAUGAUUUAGGAAUAGAAAAGUUCAUCAACCAGCUAGUUCAAUCAAAACAAUAGGAAAUCAAAGUGAUAAAUGGCACCUUUUAAAGAAAUUCGGAUGAAGCCUUUUCCAUUGUUUGAUUCAAUACAAAAUUAAUUCCCAAGUGAAAGCUUCAAAAUAGAGCUUGAAAUAAGCCACAACUGCCGAAUAAUUGAGCGAUGACACCCAGCAAUCUCGGAAGUAACACAGUCCCGCAGAAACAGUAGCAAUUUCCUUUACAAAACCGAAUUUUGGAAGCUCAUUUCCUUCUCAGAUCUGUUUUGUAAGAUUCAAAGAAGCAAUAGAAAACCAUUUUUCAGUUGUUUCGUGUGUGCCGAUGGGGAGAUGAGGAGGAUGAAAGCGAGAUGAGAGAAUCAAGGAGAGGGUAUCACGGCUAGUUGGUGUUUUUCGCAAACAAAGCUGAAGAAGACGACUUAGGGUGUGCCGUU
Molecule: long non-coding RNA, 4442 nt
Filed under: Nicotiana tabacum (common tobacco)
Lineage: Eukaryota; Viridiplantae; Streptophyta; Magnoliopsida; Solanales; Solanaceae
Description: long non-coding RNA (NTAB_LNC002331)
Source: RNAcentral